This is a non-coding RNA of Schistosoma mansoni, 45 nucleotides long. The record is from Rfam. NCBI's taxonomy places the organism in Eukaryota, Metazoa, Platyhelminthes, Trematoda, Strigeidida, Schistosomatidae.
ACCUUGCUGACGAGUGCCAAGUAGUACGAAACCCGAGUCCAGGGU